This 253-nucleotide ribosomal RNA is filed under the name uncultured bacterium. Its description in RNAcentral is "partial 16S ribosomal RNA". It matches the Rfam family "Bacterial small subunit ribosomal RNA", at positions 524 to 776 of the family's 1533-position model. The record is from RNAcentral.
AACGUAGGUCACAAGCGUUGUCCGGAAUUACUGGGUGUAAAGGGAGCGCAGGCGGGAAGACAAGUUGGAAGUGAAACCUAUGGGCUCAACCCAUAAACUGCUUUCAAAACUGUUUUUCUUGAGUAGUGCAGAGGUAGGCGGAAUUCCCGGUGUAGCGGUGGAAUGCGUAGAUAUCGGGAGGAACACCAGUGGCGAAGGCGGCCUACUGGGCACCAACUGACGCUGAGGCUCGAAAGUGUGGGUAGCAAGCAGG